Molecule: ribosomal RNA, 586 nt
Filed under: uncultured bacterium
Lineage: Bacteria
Description: partial 16S ribosomal RNA
Rfam family: Bacterial small subunit ribosomal RNA
Source: RNAcentral
UAAGGAAUAUUGGUCAAUGGACGAAAGUCUGAACCAGCCAUGCCGCGUGGAGGAUGAAGGUCCUCUGGAUUGUAAACUUCUUUUAUCUGGGACGAAAAAAGGUCUUUCUAGAUCGUCUGACGGUACCAGAUGAAUAAACACCGGCUAACUCCGUGCCAGCGGCCGCGGUAAUACGGAGGGUGCAAGCGUUAUCCGGAUUCACUGGGUUUAAAGGGUGCGUAGGUGGGUUGGUAAGUCAGUGGUGAAAUCCUCGAGCUUAACUCGGAAACUGCCAUUGAUACUAUCAGUCUUGAAUAUUGUGGAGGUUAGCGGAGUAUGUCAUGUAGCGGUGAAAUGCUUAGAUAUGACAUAGAACACCAAUUGCGAAGGCAGCUGGCUACACAUAUAUUGACACUGAGGCACGAAAAGCGUGGGGAUCAAAACAGGAUUAGAUACCCUGGUAGUCCACGCCCUAAAACUAUGGAUACUCGACAUACGCGAUACACUGUGUGUGUCUGAGCGAAAAGCAUUAAGUAUCCCCACCUGGGGAAGUACGAUCGCAAGAUUGAAACUCAAAUGAAUUGACGGGGUCAUAGCUGUUUGCCUG